CCAGAGCUUGCUUUGGUUACCUAGUGGCGCACGGGUGAGUAACGCGUGGGAACCUACCCUAGGAUGGGGGACAACCGCUGGAAACGGCGGCUAAUACCGCAUACGCCCUCAGGGGGAAAGCUUUAUGCGCUUCGAGAUGAACCCGCGUCGGAUUAGCUAGUUGGUGAGGUAAAGGCUCACCAAGGCGACGAUCCGUAGCUGGUCUGAGAGGAUGAUCAGCCACACUGGGACUGAGACACGGCCCAGACUCC
Molecule: ribosomal RNA, 251 nt
Filed under: uncultured bacterium
Lineage: Bacteria
Description: partial 16S ribosomal RNA
Rfam family: Bacterial small subunit ribosomal RNA
Source: RNAcentral